UUCCUCAGUAACGGCGAAGUGAAGCGGUAACAGCUCAAAUUUGAAAUCUGGCUCUUUCAGGGUCCGAGUUGUAAUUUGUAGAAGUGGCUUCGGGUGUGGCUCCGGUCUAAGUUCCUUGGAACAGGGACGUUACAUAGAGGGUGAGAAUCCCGUAUGUGACCUGGUUGCCUUCGCCCAUGAUGAAGCUCUUUCGACGAGUCGAGUUUGUUUGGGAAUGCAGCUCUAAAUGGGAAGGUAAAUUUCUUCUAAAAGCUAAAUAUUGGCCAGAGACCGAUAGCGCACAAGUAGAGUGAUCGAAAGAUGAAAAGCACUUUGGAAAGAGAGUUAAACAGUACGUGAAAUUGUUGAAAGGGAAGCGCUUGCAACCAGACUUGCCUGCCGUCGAUCAUCCUCCGUUCUCGGUGGUGCACUCGGCGGUGGUCAGGCCAGCAUCGGUUUUGGUGGUGGGAUAAAGACCUUAGGAAUGUGGCUCCUCUCGGGGAGUGUUAUAGCCUUCGGUGCAAUGCCGCCUACUGGGACCGAGGACCGCGCUUCGGCUAGGAUGCUGGCGUAAUGGUUGUAAGCGACCCGUCUUGAAACACGGACCAAGGAGUCUAACAUCUAUGCGAGUGUUUGGGUGUUAAACCCAUACGCGUAAUGAAAGUGAACGGAGGUGAGAACCCUUUAGGGUGCAUCAUCGACCGAUCCUGAUGUCUUCGGAUGGAUUUGAGUAAGAGCAUAGCUGUUGGGACCCGAAAGAUGGUGAACUAUGCCUAAAUAGGGUGAAGCCAGAGGAAACUCUGGUGGAGGCUCGCAGCGGUUCUGACGUGCAAAUCGAUCGUCAAAUUUGGGUAUAGGGGCGAAAGACUAAUCGAACCAUCUAGUAGCUGGUUCCUGCGA
This 879-nucleotide ribosomal RNA is filed under the name Lachnellula fuscosanguinea. RNAcentral's name for it is "LSU rRNA". It matches the Rfam family "Eukaryotic large subunit ribosomal RNA", at positions 76 to 963 of the family's 3401-position model. Lineage: Eukaryota; Fungi; Ascomycota; Leotiomycetes; Helotiales; Lachnaceae. The record is from RNAcentral.